CCCAUACCGAACACGGAAGUUAAGCUCUUUAGCGCCGAUGGUAGUUGGGGGCUUCCCCCUGUGAGAGUAGGACAUUGCUUCGC
This 83-nucleotide ribosomal RNA is filed under the name [Bacillus] sp. KCTC 13219. The record is from RNAcentral. Lineage: Bacteria; Bacillati; Bacillota; Bacilli; Caryophanales; Bacillaceae.